CUACCCUUGACAUGUCAGGAAUCCUCGAGAGAUUGAGGAGUGCCCGAAAGGGAACCUGAACACAGGUGCUGCAUGGCUGUCGUCAGCUCGUGUCGUGAGAUGUUGGGUUAAGUCCCGCAACGAGCGCAACCCUUGUCAUUAGUUGCUACGCAAGAGCACUCUAAUGAGACUGCCGGUGACAAACCGGAGGAAGGUGGGGAUGACGUCAAGUCCUCAUGGCCCUUAUGGGUAGGGCUUCACACGUCAUACAAUGGUACAUACAGAGGGCCGCCAACCCGCGAGGGGGAGCUAAUCCCAGAAAGUGUAUCGUAGUCCGGAUCGUAGUCUGCAACUCGACUACGUGAAGUUGGAAUCGCUAGUAAUCGCGGAUCAGC
RNAcentral lists this ribosomal RNA (374 nucleotides) under uncultured bacterium. Its description in RNAcentral is "bacterial SSU rRNA". It matches the Rfam family "Bacterial small subunit ribosomal RNA", at positions 975 to 1353 of the family's 1533-position model. The record is from RNAcentral.